Molecule: long non-coding RNA, 324 nt
Organism: Silurus meridionalis
Lineage: Eukaryota; Metazoa; Chordata; Actinopteri; Siluriformes; Siluridae
Exons: 3
Source: RefSeq, a predicted model, not a curated record
UAUAUGUGUGUGUGUGUGUGUGUGUGUGUGUGUGUGUGUGUGUGUGUGUGUGUGUGUGUGAGUGUGUGUGUGUUGUGGGGGUCUCUUUUCUGCUCAGUAAGAGAGGCUGUAUUUUUCACAGACCUUGGGAGCUGUGCCUUUUCUAUGCAAUUAUAAACAUAUUCAUUUUGAGGAAAAACCCACCCACCAACUGAUGAUCACUGUAUUUAACACCAAGGUGUGGACUGUAGAAUAUAUAUAAAAUAUGGACAGGUGUCUAUGAAUUUGAAACAGUCUUACUUUUGUAGUUUUAUAUCAUACAAUAAACUAUUCGAAUUAAAAUGA